This 468-nucleotide ribosomal RNA is filed under the name uncultured bacterium. RNAcentral's name for it is "partial 16S ribosomal RNA". It matches the Rfam family "Bacterial small subunit ribosomal RNA", at positions 28 to 507 of the family's 1533-position model. The record is from RNAcentral.
GACGAACGCUGGCGGCGUGCUUAACACAUGCAAGUCGAACGGAAAGGCCCUGCUUUUGUGGGGUGCUCGAGUGGCGAACGGGUGAGUAACACGUGAGUAACCUGCCCUUGACUUUGGGAUAACUUAAGGAAACUGGGGCUAAUACCGGAUAGGAGCUCCUGCUGCAUGGUGGGGGUUGGAAAGUUUCGGAGGUUGGGGAUGGACUCGCGGCUUAUCAGCUUGUUGGUGGGGUAGUGGCUUACCAAGGCUUUGACGGGUAGACGGACUGCGAGGGUGACCGGCCACAUUGGGACUGAGGUGCCGCCCAUACUGCUACGGGAGGCAGCAGUGGUGAAUAUUGCACAAUGGGCGGAAGCCUUAUGCAGCAACUCCGCGUGCGGGAUGACGGCCUUCGGGUUGUAAACCGCUUUCGCCUGUGACGAAGCGUGAGUGACGGUAAUGGGUAAAGAAGCACCGGCUAACUACGUG